UCUCCCCCCAAAAAUUUAUAAAGAAGGUUGGAUUUCAGCGGUUUGUGUAACCACAACAUCACAUAUUCAAGUUCAUGUCAUCCCAAAAGUUGGAACAUCAGCACUGUGUAGUUGGGGGCCUGUCAUCCUGGCUUCCUCUCUCCGGCUCACCACCUGCAGCUCCAAUCACCUGAGGCUCAUCGACAAUCAACCCAAUCUGUUAAAACCCCAGCUCUACAGUCACUCCCGGCCAGUUCGUCAUUUAACCUACUGUGUGUGACCUCAGCUGAGUUUGGAUACACUACCUGCCAGCCUGGAGAGUGCCCUGUCUCCACUGCAACAAUCUCAAAUAAGCCAGAGACUCCCACUCCACCCAGCCCGCUUGCU
Micropterus dolomieu (smallmouth bass) is the source of this 366-nucleotide long non-coding RNA. RefSeq lists it as uncharacterized. The transcript has 3 exons. The record is from RefSeq and is a predicted model, not a curated record. NCBI's taxonomy places the organism in Eukaryota, Metazoa, Chordata, Actinopteri, Centrarchiformes, Centrarchidae.